Molecule: ribosomal RNA, 465 nt
Filed under: uncultured Klebsiella sp.
Lineage: Bacteria; Pseudomonadati; Pseudomonadota; Gammaproteobacteria; Enterobacterales; Enterobacteriaceae
Description: bacterial SSU rRNA
Rfam family: Bacterial small subunit ribosomal RNA
Source: RNAcentral
CCUACGGGGGGCUGCAGUGGGGAAUAUUGCACAAUGGGCGCAAGCCUGAUGCAGCCAUGCCGCGUGUGUGAAGAAGGCCUUCGGGUUGUAAAGCACUUUCAGCGGGGAGGAAGGCGUUAAGGUUAAUAACCUUGGCGAUUGACGUUACCCGCAGAAGAAGCACCGGCUAACUCCGUGCCAGCAGCCGCGGUAAUACGGAGGGUGCAAGCGUUAAUCGGAAUUACUGGGCGUAAAGCGCACGCAGGCGGUCUGUCAAGUCGGAUGUGAAAUCCCCGGGCUCAACCUGGGAACUGCAUUCGAAACUGGCAGGCUAGAGUCUUGUAGAGGGGGGUAGAAUUCCAGGUGUAGCGGUGAAAUGCGUAGAGAUCUGGAGGAAGACCGGUGGCGAAGGCGGCCCCCUGGACAAAGACUGACGCUCAGGUGCGAAAGCGUGGGGAGCAAACAGGAUUAGAUACCCGAGUAGUC